This 253-nucleotide ribosomal RNA is filed under the name uncultured bacterium. Its description in RNAcentral is "partial 16S ribosomal RNA". It matches the Rfam family "Bacterial small subunit ribosomal RNA", at positions 524 to 776 of the family's 1533-position model. The record is from RNAcentral.
UACGUAGGGGGCUAGCGUUGUCCGGAAUCAUUGGGCGUAAAGAGCGUGUAGGCGGUCCGGUAAGUCCGCUGUGAAAGUCGGGGGCUCAACCCUCGAAUGCCGGUGGAUACUGUCGGGCUAGAGUGCGGAAGAGGCGAGUGGAAUUCCUGGUGUAGCGGUGAAAUGCGCAGAUAUCAGGAGGAAUACCCAUAGCGAAGGCAGCUCGCUGGGACGUUACUGACGCUGAGGCGCGAAAGCGUGGGGAGCGAACAGG